CCUAUGGGUGGCAGCAGUGGGGAAUAUUGGACAAUGGGCGAAAGCCUGAUCCAGCCAUGCCGCGUGUGUGAAGAAGGCCUUCGGGUUGUAAAGCACUUUCAGUGGGGAAGAAAGCCUUGGGGCUAAUACCCUCGAGGAAGGACAUCACCCACAGAAGAAGCACCGGCUAACUCCGUGCCAGCAGCCGCGGUAAUACGGAGGGUGCGAGCGUUAAUCGGAAUUACUGGGCGUAAAGCGCGCGUAGGCGGUCUGAUAAGCCGGUUGUGAAAGCCCCGGGCUCAACCUGGGAACGGCAUCCGGAACUGUCAGGCUAGAGUGCAGGAGAGGAAGGUAGAAUUCCCGGUGUAGCAGUGAAAUGCGUAGAGAUCGGGAGGAAUACCAGUGGCGAAGGCGGCCUUCUGGACUGACACUGACGCUGAGGUGCGAAAGCGUGGGUAGCAAACAGGAUUAGAUACCCCUGUAGUC
Molecule: ribosomal RNA, 465 nt
Filed under: Vreelandella stevensii
Lineage: Bacteria; Pseudomonadati; Pseudomonadota; Gammaproteobacteria; Oceanospirillales; Halomonadaceae
Description: partial 16S ribosomal RNA
Rfam family: Bacterial small subunit ribosomal RNA
Source: RNAcentral